Pongo pygmaeus (Bornean orangutan) is the source of this 2531-nucleotide long non-coding RNA. RefSeq lists it as uncharacterized. The record is from RefSeq and is a predicted model, not a curated record. The transcript has 4 exons. Lineage: Eukaryota; Metazoa; Chordata; Mammalia; Primates; Hominidae.
AGUGAAGCCGGAUAGGGAGUUUGGGGACCAUCUAAAAUAGAGUGGUGAAGGAAGGCCUCACUGAGAAGGUAACAUUUGAGUAAAAUCCUAAAGAAAGCAAGGAAGCAAGCCGUAGAGAUAUUUGGUGGAAGGGCGUCUUAGGUAAAGGGAACAACAGAUGCAAGGGCCCUGAAAUGGGAGCAUAAAUUAUGUAUUUAAGAAACAGCAAGGAAGCUACUGUGGCUAAAGCUGAAUGAGAAAAGUGAGGGUCAUAAGAGAUGAGAUCUGAGCAGUAAGAUGGGGAGAGAGUAUGUGUGUGUGUGUGUGUGUGUGCAUGUGUGCAAAAUGUAAGGCGUUGUGGACCAUUAUAAUGAUUUUUUUCUCUUGGUGAGGUGGUAUUUUUCCAUUUGAGGAAAGGAAAAUUUGGACAAAGGAAUAACACAAUCUGACUUACUGCUUUAAAAGGCGCACUCUUGGGGACAAGAGCAGGAGUAAACUGAGUGGCUUUCAGAAUAACCUGGACAAGAGAUGAUAGUGGCUUGGACUAUGAUAGCGAUGGAGGUGGUAAAAAGUGAUUAGAGAUAAUUAAAAGAUAACCCAUGAGUAAUUAUGACCCAACUAAGCUUGGGUAACAUUCAUUGGGUAGUUAUUGAUUAACUUUUGUUUUCCUACUCUAGAGGAACUUUCUCCAGUAAUGCUUAGGAGCUGAGGCUGUGUUGGAGAAUGCAAAGGUGACCACCCCAUUGGUGGGGAUUAGUAUGGCUGUAACAGUAAAUGGGCAAAGAUGAUCAUGGCUUGGGCCAAGGUGGUACUAGUAAAGGUGGUGAGAAGUCUCCAGACUCUGGAUUUAUUUUGAAAAUAAAACCAAGAUUUGUUGAUAAAUUGGGCAUGGAAUGCAAGCAAAAGUGAGAAAUCAGGGUGACUGUAGUUUUUUGUCCCCUUUUUUUUGUUAUUGUUGGAGUUUACGUUAGUGAUAAUGACAAGACUUCAAGAAGACCAAUUUUGUGGGAAAUAUCAGGAGCUCAUUUUGAACCUGGUGAGUUCGAGAUGCCUUUGAUACAUCUAAAUGUAGAUGCCAAGUUGGCAACUGGAUAUAUGAGCUUAGAGCUCAGGAGAGUUUAAAGAAAAUUUUAUUAGUUAACAUUGUUGAGGUAACUAACAAGCACCAAAUCUCAGUGGAUUACAGCAACAAACGUUCAUUUCUUGCUCUUGCUACAUAUGGGCUACAGAUUGAUUACAGCUCUGCUCUAGGUUGUGGGCCAGCAGAUAGAUCGGAUUCAAGUGUCUUCUAAUCUUGGGCCUAGGCUAAAAGAACAGCCGCUGUCUGUGCUAUACUCAUGGCAAAGGGCAGAAGCAAGAGAGGCCAAACUAAUCCAUUCAAUCCAAUUUAAAGAUUCUCCUUGCAUAUGGCAUACACCACGUAUUUCCAUUCUAUUCCAUUCCACCAGCCAAAAAAAGUCACAUAGCUCAGCCCUGCAAUGUGGCAAAAAAUGUAUACUCUGCUCAGCAGAGGCAUUUAAAGACAAAUCCAAAGGGUGCAGAUGUAUAAUAUUCAUAGAAGGGAGAAAGCAGGUAGUUGUAAACCAUAAUUUAAUCUACCACAAAGUGAGUAUAGAUAGUGAAGAGAAGAAGUCCAAAGCCUGAGAUAUUUCAACAUUCAGAGGUCAGGGAGAUAAGGAGAAACCAACAAAGGAGACUGAGAAGGAAGAGAUAGUAAGGUAGGGAGAAACAUUGGAAGUCAAGAAAAGAAAGUGUCUCAAGAAGAAAGGAUGGAUCAGCUGUGUCCCAUGCUGCUAAUAGGUCAAGCAAGAUGUGGGCUGACAUUGACCAUUACAUUUAGCAAUGUGGAAAUAUUGGGUGAUAGUGACAACAGAGUUAAUGGCAUGGUGAGGGAUGCUAUGGUUUGAAUGUUUGUCCCCUCCCACACAAGUUGAAAUUUAAUUGCUAUUGUGACAGUAUUAAAAGGUGGGAUAUUUAAGAGGUGAUUAGGUCAUGAGCACUCUACCCUCAUGAAUGGAUUAAUGCCGUUAUCUCAGAAAUAGAAUUGUUAUCGUUGGAGUAGAAUCCUUAUAAAAGGAUGAGUUCAGCCCUGUUUUGUCUCUCUCACCCUCGCUUUGCCCUUCCGCCAUGGGAUGCUGUCCACCAUGGGAUGAUGCAGCAAGAAGGCCCUGGCAAGAUGCACUUUUCAAUCUUGGACUUCCCAACCUCCAGAAGUGUGAGCCAAUAAAUCUCUGAGAUGGGUUUUCAUCAUGUUGUCCAGGCUAGUCUCAAACUCCUGAGCUCAAGCAAUCUGCCUGCCUCAGCCUCCCCAAGUGCUAGGAUUAAAGGGUUCUGUUCUAUGUCAUUUCCUUUGAAGUCAGUGGGAGCUCUGUGCAGGACGGCAACAUGAACACCGGCCUCUAUACAUGAAGGCCAUCAAGUGGUUAACAUAUAGACAGUAUUUAAAUCCUUGGGACUGGAUGGGAUUACCAAGGGAGGAAAUGUAGAUGAAGGAGAAGAGAAAGGACUGAAUUCUGGAGCACUACAAAUUUAAGAGACUGGGGAGAAGAGGA